RNAcentral lists this ribosomal RNA (497 nucleotides) under uncultured bacterium. RNAcentral's name for it is "partial 16S ribosomal RNA". It matches the Rfam family "Bacterial small subunit ribosomal RNA", at positions 28 to 507 of the family's 1533-position model. The record is from RNAcentral.
GAUGAGCGCUGGCGGCGUGCCUAACACAUGCAAGUCGAGCGAACAGACGAGGAGCUUGCUCCUCUGACGUUAGCGGCGGACGGGUGAGUAACACGUGGAUAACCUACCUAUAAGACUGGGAUCACUUCGGGAAACCGGAGCUAAUACCGGAUAAUAUAUUGAACCGCAUGGUUCAAUAGUGAAAGACGGUUUUGCUGUCACUUAUAGAUGGAUCCGGGCCGCAUUAGCUAGUUGGUACGGUAACGGCUUUCCAAGGCGACGAUGCGUUACCGACCUGAGAGGGUGGUUGGUCGCACUGGAACGUGAACGACGUCCCAGGUCCUGAGGGAAGGCACAGGUGGGAAUUCUAGGCAAAGGGGGGAAAGCUUGUCGAAGCAACGCGAGUUGGUUGAGGAAGUUCUGCGAAUGGAAAGACCGUUUUCUUGGGGAAAAACAAAUUUGUAUGUAACGAUGCGGGUUUGAAGGUAACCAAAAAAGAAGCACCGGCUAACUUCGUG